CCUUCAUAGACAUGAGCACACCAGACUCAGUUGAUGGACCAAGCAAUUGCCUGGCAGAGAUUGUUAAUCUAGGUGAUAAAGGGAGCCAUUACUUAACAAAUGAACCUAUGGAAUAAUUUGAAGAAAAGGAGAUUGUAUGGAAGAAAAGAAACGUCUAUCAAAAUAGAAAGAAAGAGUUUACUUCAGAAAUGUCACUAUGGGAAGAUGUUGUGCAUAAGAAUACUUCAUGGGAACAGAAGAAAUGCCACCCAAAGUUUUCAUAAAAUAGAAGGAAGACAAUCACUUCAGAAAUGCUAAAUUGGUUAUACACUGUUUACCAAAGAAAUAAAACAUACUUCGGAUU
Molecule: non-coding RNA, 343 nt
Organism: Salvia hispanica
Lineage: Eukaryota; Viridiplantae; Streptophyta; Magnoliopsida; Lamiales; Lamiaceae
Source: RefSeq, a predicted model, not a curated record